UAGUUUUCACCUUUUUCUUUCUCUCCUUCUUUCUCCUCUUCCUCCUCCUCCUCCUCUUCCUCCUCCUCCUCCUUCCCCUUCUCCUUGUUCUCCAGCUGCUCUCCCCAUUUCCCUGCUCCGGCUCCUCUCCCCGAGCCCGGAUUUGCUCCGUGGUUUUUGUGGAGCCCCUCUGGGUGUCCCCAAUCCCGGUGGCUCUGGGGACGCUCAUUCCCAGCUCUCCGGAGCCUCCCAAGCCCCCGGGGCCACCCCAGUCUGGAGGGAAAGGGUUCAGAGCUGCUGAGCGGGAUUUUCCCAGCUCCGGAGUCUCCGGCUCGGGAUCUCAUCCCUGUUUUCUCCAUCCCCAGAUGUCCCCGAGGUUGAGGUGGCCCUGGAGAACAACCUGGUGAGAUAUCGGGGUGCUCCUGCCCCAUCCCAAACCUGCACCUCUCCGUUCCCUCCCCAUCCCGGUAUUCCCGGGCUUUCCUCCCCCACAAAUUCCCACAUCCCACCAGGCACUAUACGGGGAAUUCCUUAACCAUGGCACCCAGACCCAUCCCAAACCCCCCGUGCCUCAGUUUCCCCAUUCCCGAGGGUGUUCCCAUCCUAACUCCUCGCUCUUCCCGCAGGAAGAGGAUCCAGCCCACCCCAAACCCCCCGUGCCUCAGUUUCCCCAUUCCCGAGGGUGUUCCCAUCCUAACUCCCCGCUCUUCCUGCAGGAAGAGGAUCCAGCCCACCCCAAACCCCACAGCGUCUCCCCCAGCCUGGAGGAGAUCCACGUGGGGCAGCCGGUCCCACUGUGCUGCUGGACGUCGCAGCCGCAGCCUGCGGUGGAGCGGGGCAGCCAGGUGUCCCCCAAGAUCCUGAAGCUGGAAUGCGACCACGAGCCGGGCCCCAGCCAUCCCAAAUCCCGCUGGGAAUUCCCGACGCAGCCCGGCCCCUCGGCGGCACCGCACAACUGCGCCCGCGCCGGCGACGCCGAGGGCGGCAGCAUCAUCAUCUGCAGCUCAGACGACAGCGACGAGGACACCGUGGUGGUGACGGUGACACCGGAGCCGUGCUGACGUCCCAGUGGAUCAUCCCGCAAUUCCCAUUCCCAGAAUUCCGCUUGGGCUUUCCUCUUCUUGGCCAAUCCCAAAUUUAUUCCUGGACUGAGCCUCUGGUGUUCCGGAGCGGCCCCAAAUCCCCCUCUGGGAUCCCCCCCAGCAGUUGGAGCAGGGAAUUCCUCGGGAUUGGGAUUGGGAUUAGGAUUGGGAUUUGGGUCCAUUUCCCAAUGUAAUGAGGGAUUAAAAUCCCGUUUUUUUAAUGCUUCCCCUCAAUAAAUUUGCUCCAGGAUAAAUUUCAGCCUUGCUUUUCCCAGUCCAUCCUGAGCAGAGGGAAAAUCGGGAAUUUUGGGAUCAAAUCUUUCCCUGCUCCCUGCUCCUGGCAUCCAUCCCAGCGUUUCAGGGAUGAGGGAAAUCCCAGGGAUAAAAUUCCCACAUUCCGUGGGUGGAGGAGCCUGUUCCAGCCACAUUCCCACAAAUCCGGGGCUGCCGGGAAAGAGGGAAAGGGAAUUCCAUUUCCCAGGAAAAGAAUGUGGGAUUGUCCUGAGGAAAAACAGGGAAUGAAUUCGGGGCUCUGCUUUUAUCCCGGAUCCCGGUGGUUUUUUGGGACACCCCAAGGAAUAUUUCCAUGGAUUUAAUUCCUGGGAUUUCUGGGAUUUGAGCAUUCCUGCCUCAAUCCCAGCUGGAUUUGGGAUGCCCAGAUCCAAUAUUUGGGGUUCCUCACUCCAGGAAUGUUUUCCAUGGAUUAAAUUCCUGGAUUUGUCCUGGCUGGAUUUGGGAUUCUCAGAUCCAAUUUUCAGGGUUCCUCACUCCAGGAAUGUUUUCCGUGGAUUAAAUUCCUGGGGUUUUUGGGAUUUGAGUGUUCCUGCCUCAAUCCCAGAUGGAUUUGGGACACCCAGAUCCCAUUUUUGGGACAUGCCAACUCCAGGAAUGGUUCCAGGGAUGAAAUUCCUGGGAUUUGACCUGGAAUAGUUUUUGGGAUUCCCAGAUCCUAUUUUUGGUGUUCCUCACUCCAAGAAUGUUUUCUAUGGAAUAAAUUCCUGGGAUUUCUGGGAUUUGAGUAUUCCUACUUCAAUCCCAGAUGGAUUUGGGAUUUCCAGAUCCCAUUUUUGGGUCAUCCCCACUCCAGGAAUGUUUCCAUGGAUGAAAUUCCUGGGAUUUGACCUGGAAUUGUUUUUGGGAUUCUCAGAUCCCAUUUUUGGGCUUUCCCAGCUCCAGAACUGUUUCCAUUGAUGAAAUUCCUGGGAUUUGUCCUGGCUGGAUUUGGGAUUCCCAGAUCCAAUUUUUGGGGCUCCUCACUCCAGGAAUGUUUUCCAUGGAUUAAUUUCCUGGGAUUUGUCCUGGCUGGAUUUGGGAUUCCCAGAUCCCAUUUUUGGGGUUCCUCACCCCAGGAAUGUUUUCCAUGGAUGAAAUUCCUGGGAUCUGAGCAUUCCAUGGAUUCCAUUCAGAUUCCUCGCUCCCAAGGCUGCCCCAUCCAGCCCCAAGCCACCAGCCGGGAUUGGGAUCCCUUUUCCAGCCUUUCCCAGGAUUUUGGGGACAUGGGGACACCGGCCCAUGGAGGUGGCACCUGGCCCUGUCCCCAUCACAACCUUUGAGAUUCCUGGUUGGAGCUGGGAAUUCCGGAAUUCCGUGGCAUCAAGGGUGUCCCCAAAGGUGACAUUGUCCAGGGAAUUUGGGGACAUGGAGGGACCCACGGAGGUGGCACUGGGUGCCCCAUGCAGGUGGCACUGGGUGUCCCACGGAGGUGGCACUGGGUGUCCCAUGUAGGUGGCACUGGGUGUCCCAUGGAGGUGGCACUGGGUGUCCCCAUGCAGGUGGCACUGGGUGUCCCAUGCAGGUGGCACUGGGUUUCUCAUGGAGGUGACACUGGGUGUCCAUGCAGGUGGCACUGGGUGUCCCAUGUAGGUGGCACUGGGUGUCCCAUGGAGGUGGCACUGGGUGUCCCAUGCGGGUGGCACUGGGUGUCCCAUGGAGGUGGCCCUGGGUGUCCCAUGCGGGUGGCACUGGGUGUCCCAUGGAGGUGACACUGGGUGUCCCAUGCAGGUGGCACUGGGUGUCCCCGUGGAGGUGACACUGGGUGUCCAUGCAGGUGGCACUGGGUGUCCCAUGUAGGUGGCACUGGGUGUCCCCGUGGAGGUGACACUGGGUGUCCAUGCAGGUGGCACUGGGUGUCCCCACGGAGGUGGCACUGGGUGUCCCAUG
Molecule: long non-coding RNA, 3221 nt
Filed under: Taeniopygia guttata (zebra finch)
Lineage: Eukaryota; Metazoa; Chordata; Aves; Passeriformes; Estrildidae
Description: lncRNA (ENSTGUG00000019234.1)
Source: RNAcentral